Molecule: ribosomal RNA, 605 nt
Filed under: Bacillus licheniformis
Lineage: Bacteria; Bacillati; Bacillota; Bacilli; Caryophanales; Bacillaceae
Description: bacterial SSU rRNA
Rfam family: Bacterial small subunit ribosomal RNA
Source: RNAcentral
UCGAGCGGACAGAUGGGAGCUUGCUCCCUGAUGUUAGCGGCGGACGGGUGAGUAACACGUGGGUAACCUGCCUGUAAGACUGGGAUAACUCCGGGAAACCGGGGCUAAUACCGGAUGGUUGUUUGAACCGCAUGGUUCAAACAUAAAAGGUGGCUUCGGCUACCACUUACAGAUGGACCCGCGGCGCAUUAGCUAGUUGGUGAGGUAACGGCUCACCAAGGCAACGAUGCGUAGCCGACCUGAGAGGGUGAUCGGCCACACUGGGACUGAGACACGGCCCAGACUCCUACGGGAGGCAGCAGUAGGGAAUCUUCCGCAAUGGACGAAAGUCUGACGGAGCAACGCCGCGUGAGUGAUGAAGGUUUUCGGAUCGUAAAGCUCUGUUGUUAGGGAAGAACAAGUACCGUUCGAAUAGGGCGGUACCUUGACGGUACCUAACCAGAAAGCCACGGCUAACUACGUGCCAGCAGCCGCGGUAAUACGUAGGUGGCAAGCGUUGUCCGGAAUUAUUGGGCGUAAAGGGCUCGCAGGCGGUUUCUUAAGUCUGAUGUGAAAGCCCCCGGCUCAACCGGGGAGGGUCAUUGGAAACUGGGGAACUUGACUGC